Long non-coding RNA from Canis lupus familiaris (dog), 1988 nucleotides. RefSeq lists it as uncharacterized. The transcript is spliced from 3 exons. Lineage: Eukaryota; Metazoa; Chordata; Mammalia; Carnivora; Canidae. The record is from RefSeq and is a predicted model, not a curated record.
CCAACUGAUUUCUCAGGCUGAUUUCACCUUGUAAAACCCUGACCAGAGAACCCAGCCAUGCCACUCAUGAACUUCUGAAACUACAGAACUUAGCCUUAUGGAAAAGACCUCUGAUGUCCCCCAACUUUUGCCAUACUGCAGCUUAGGCAUCUUUGUCUCUCUCUUACCCACAAUCCCUCUGCUGGCAUCAAGCAACCAGGAUCAUGGAAACUCACUUUUCCAGGGAAAUAAUCCCUCAUCAAAGGGAAAUUGAAUCUGAAAUGCCUGUAUCUCUUCCCACAUUGCCCUUGGCCUUGGCGAUGGAAUUUGCUUUGUCCGAUGGAACCAUAGCAAGUGUGAAGCCAGCAGAGAAUUGAAAAGCACUUGCACACCACGGUUUGCCCCCUCUUGCUGCUCUUGGCACAGAGAACAACAAUGUGAAGAAGUGUGGGUGAGGUGGAUGAUGAGAGGCCCAGGACCCAUGUAUUCUCUCCACCACAGCUGAUGGUGAACCAACUGCCAGAUGUGGGUGAGACCAUGAUAGACCAUCUAGCCCCCAGCAGAGCCAGGGGCUCUCACCACAGAUGCAUAAGCAGGCGUUCUGAGAACAGCGAAAGGACCACUCAGCUUUGCUCAGCUGAAAUUGUUGACCUGCAGAAUUACAAACAGAAUUUGGUUGUUUAAAGUCACUAAAUUUUGGAUGGUUUGUGGUACAUCAAAAUCUGGCUGGCACAAUUGGUAACUGCCACCCAUCAAAAUCCAACCAAAAAUAGGAGAUAGAUAAAAUACUUUUCAUAGUAGAAAUAUAGCCUCUGCUUGCAAAAGUUGACAGUGAACUUUCCCUGGAGUCUUAAGGAAAGGGAUGAGGUUAAGAUGUGUGACAUUUGUUGGAUACGAUCUGUUUGCCAAGCCCUGGGUUGACCCCUGUAUCCUGUUUAACAGCCCAUUAAAUCUUAGAGAGGAGAUUACUAUUUGCAAUUCAUAGAAGAGAAGACUUAGAGUGGAGUUUGUAUUUGAAUUCAAGUCUUCGUGUCUCUACAGCAGAUUAUUUUUAUCAGGAGCUAUGGUUUGUUGUGUCAUUUUUUGGAUGAUGUGGAGAAUUGACUUCUUACAUGAGGUGUUCUUUUGCUAAGAGUCACUGGGUUCAAAGAAAGGUAUUUUCAUCUGGAUGUUCUUCUCCUGCACAAUCUAGUGAAAAGAACACCUAAGUGCCUACCUCACUUCCACCAAUCAAGUGUGUCACCUCGACAUGUUACUUGACCACUUGAAGUUCAAUAACUUCUGCACACAGAAAAUGGAAUUAAGUGAUGCAGAAGAGAAGAUAUUGUUUCAUCAUCACUCUAGGCAUUGAUUUUGAUCUAUUGGUGGUCUGAUUGGUUUUACAUACUUAAUAUGUAUCAACCAACAAAUCUGAACAAUGAGUAUCAGAAUCUCCCUUCAACAGAUUAAGAAACCAGCUGACAUGCGCUUAAGUAAGACAGUAAGUGAGGGAGCUGAGAUUCACACCUUGGUCUGUGUGACUCCAAAGGCAAUCCUCUUCCCUUCUCUAUGACACAUGUCAUGGAUGUUGAGAGUUGCUGACAUGCACAGCCCAUGCCAUUCCUGUGAUACAGAUGUCUUCCCCUGGGAGAAUGUUAGAGACCUUCCCAGAGCCCUUUAGCAUUCACAGCCAGAACCAACUUUCAGGAGAGUGACCACAACAUAUCUGAGAGGAUUUCAGGAGAUAGUAAAGGCGAACAGUCAGGUGAAGUGAUUUUAGUAGUAGUCAAUGAGAGAAAACAUGAUGUUUUACAAACAAUAGUCAAUGAGAGAAAACAUGAUGUUUUACAAACAAAUGACCUAGAAUUUAAAUCUGGCUCUCUCAAGUAGUUUUGCAGCCUGAAGCAAGGGAAUAUCUCUGACUGUAUUAUUUCUCAUCUGUAAACUGGGAUUAUAAAAGUACCUACCUCAUUAACCUCACCUUGCCUGAAAGGGCUUUCCUGACCAUGUGUACCCACCCUCCACUUACA